This is a non-coding RNA of Paramuricea clavata, 231 nucleotides long. The record is from the annotation of a GenBank genome assembly. NCBI's taxonomy places the organism in Eukaryota, Metazoa, Cnidaria, Anthozoa, Malacalcyonacea, Plexauridae.
UUUUCCUCUUUGCUCGGGGGACAACCUUAAUUGAAAUAGCUGUAUACACUUUUAAGACCUGACCAGAAACGACUGCGAAAAAUGCAGCACAAGGUCCUCUGCACCAGAAUCGCAGGGCCGUAGGUUCAAUUACUACUUAUCUAAACUUUUAAUUUUAUAUAUAUCUUCCUUUCAAAUAUAAAUAUAUAUAAGAAAUUGAUUAAUUGAAUACAAAAGUAAGUCUGAUAACGG